GCGCUUUGCUUCUGCAGCACAUAUGCUAAAAUUGGAAUUAUACAAAGAAGAUUAGCAUGGCCCCUGUGCAAUUAUGACAUGAAAAUUCAUGAAGCAUUCCAUAUUUUA
Molecule: small nuclear RNA, 108 nt
Filed under: Dasypus novemcinctus (nine-banded armadillo)
Lineage: Eukaryota; Metazoa; Chordata; Mammalia; Cingulata; Dasypodidae
Source: RNAcentral